Molecule: ribosomal RNA, 1282 nt
Filed under: Vibrio sp. P30
Lineage: Bacteria; Pseudomonadati; Pseudomonadota; Gammaproteobacteria; Vibrionales; Vibrionaceae
Description: bacterial SSU rRNA
Rfam family: Bacterial small subunit ribosomal RNA
Source: RNAcentral
GAUAACGGCGUCGAGCGGCGGACGGGUGAGUAAUGCCUAGGAAAUUGCCCUGAUGUGGGGGAUAACCAUUGGAAACGAUGGCUAAUACCGCAUAAUGCCUACGGGCCAAAGAGGGGGACCUUCGGGCCUCUCGCGUCAGGAUAUGCCUAGGUGGGAUUAGCUAGUUGGUGAGGUAAUGGCUCACCAAGGCGACGAUCCCUAGCUGGUCUGAGAGGAUGAUCAGCCACACUGGAACUGAGACACGGUCCAGACUCCUACGGGAGGCAGCAGUGGGGAAUAUUGCACAAUGGGCGCAAGCCUGAUGCAGCCAUGCCGCGUGUGUGAAGAAGGCCUUCGGGUUGUAAAGCACUUUCAGUCGUGAGGAAGGUAGUGUAGUUAAUAGCUGCAUUAUUUGACGUUAGCGACAGAAGAAGCACCGGCUAACUCCGUGCCAGCAGCCGCGGUAAUACGGAGGGUGCGAGCGUUAAUCGGAAUUACUGGGCGUAAAGCGCAUGCAGGUGGUUUGUUAAGUCAGAUGUGAAAGCCCGGGGCUCAACCUCGGAAUAGCAUUUGAAACUGGCAGACUAGAGUACUGUAGAGGGGGGUAGAAUUUCAGGUGUAGCGGUGAAAUGCGUAGAGAUCUGAAGGAAUACCGGUGGCGAAGGCGGCCCCCUGGACAGAUACUGACACUCAGAUGCGAAAGCGUGGGGAGCAAACAGGAUUAGAUACCCUGGUAGUCCACGCCGUAAACGAUGUCUACUUGGAGGUUGUGGCCUUGAGCCGUGGCUUUCGGAGCUAACGCGUUAAGUAGACCGCCUGGGGAGUACGGUCGCAAGAUUAAAACUCAAAUGAAUUGACGGGGGCCCGCACAAGCGGUGGAGCAUGUGGUUUAAUUCGAUGCAACGCGAAGAACCUUACCUACUCUUGACAUCCAGAGAACUUUCCAGAGAUGGAUUGGUGCCUUCGGGAACUCUGAGACAGGUGCUGCAUGGCUGUCGUCAGCUCGUGUUGUGAAAUGUUGGGUUAAGUCCCGCAACGAGCGCAACCCUUAUCCUUGUUUGCCAGCGAGUAAUGUCGGGAACUCCAGGGAGACUGCCGGUGAUAAACCGGAGGAAGGUGGGGACGACGUCAAGUCAUCAUGGCCCUUACGAGUAGGGCUACACACGUGCUACAAUGGCGCAUACAGAGGGCAGCAAGCUAGCGAUAGUGAGCGAAUCCCAAAAAGUGCGUCGUAGUCCGGAUUGGAGUCUGCAACUCGACUCCAUGAAGUCGGAAUCGCUAGUAAUCGUGGAUCAGAAUGCCA